This 636-nucleotide ribosomal RNA is filed under the name uncultured Actinomycetes bacterium. Its description in RNAcentral is "bacterial SSU rRNA". It matches the Rfam family "Bacterial small subunit ribosomal RNA", at positions 72 to 721 of the family's 1533-position model. Lineage: Bacteria; Bacillati; Actinomycetota; Actinomycetes. The record is from RNAcentral.
AUGGGAGCUUGCUCCUGGAUUAGUGGCGAACGGGUGAGUAACACGUGAGUAACCUGCCCUUAACUCUGGGAUAAGCCUGGGAAACUGGGUCUAAUACCGGAUAUGACUCCUCAUCGCAUGGUGGGGGGUGGAAAGCUUUAUUGUGGUUUUGGAUGGACUCGCGGCCUAUCAGCUUGUUGGUGAGGUAAUGGCUUACCAAGGCGACGACGGGUAGCCGGCCUGAGAGGGUGACCGGCCACACUGGGACUGAGACACGGCCCAGACUCCUACGGGAGGCAGCAGUGGGGAAUAUUGCACAAUGGGCGCAAGCCUGAUGCAGCGACGCCGCGUGAGGGAUGACGGCCUUCGGGUUGUAAACCUCUUUCAGUAGGGAAGAAGCGAAAGUGACGGUACCUGCAGAAGAAGCGCCGGCUAACUACGUGCCAGCAGCCGCGGUAAUACGUAGGGCGCAAGCGUUAUCCGGAAUUAUUGGGCGUAAAGAGCUCGUAGGCGGUUUGUCGCGUCUGCCGUGAAAGUCCGGGGCUCAACUCCGGAUCUGCGGUGGGUACGGGUAGACUAGAGUGAUGUAGGGGAGACUGGAAUUCCUGGUGUAGCGGUGAAAUGCGCAGAUAUCAGGAGGAACACCGAUGGCGAAGG